CGAAAACAAAAACGAGAGCGAGAGCGAGAAACCUUUUAUUAGCAAAUCUUUAGCUUUAAGCUUUAAACAGUUUCAACUGCUUUUGUUGCACAGGACAAUGAGRAAACCCCAAAACAAUUAAUUAAUUAAUAUAAAUGUGUAUAAAUGUAUAAUUAUUGUUACCUAGCAAAUUUAAUGAGAAUUCUUACGUAUAUACGAAUAUCGAAUGAAAACAAACAAAACCACAAAACAAAACAAGCUGAAAAGAAACAGAUAAUUGCUUAGAAGCAUACUAGAUGAAAAUGCUAUUAAUUUGUAAGGCCAACGCAAUGUUCUCAUUUUAAUUUAUAAAUUAAACGACAAAGAAACAAAACACACUGUAAAGCGAGUAUAAAUAAAUUUUAA
This is a long non-coding RNA of Drosophila arizonae, 384 nucleotides long. The record is from RefSeq and is a predicted model, not a curated record. NCBI's taxonomy places the organism in Eukaryota, Metazoa, Arthropoda, Insecta, Diptera, Drosophilidae.